AUGAACGCUGGCAGCGUGCCUAAUACAUGCAAGUCGAGCGAACGGACGAGAAGCUUGCUUUUCUGAUGUUAGCGGCGGACGGGUGAGUAACACGUGGAUAACCUACCUAUAAGACUGGGAUAACUUCGGGAAACCGGAGCUAAUACCGGAUAAUAUUUUGAACCGCAUGGUUCAAAAGUGAAAGACGGUCUUGCUGUCACUUAUAGAUGGAUCCGCGCUGCAUUAGCUAGUUGGUAAGGUAACGGCUUACCAAGGCAACGAUGCAUAGCCGACCUGAGAGGGUGAUCGGCCACACUGGAACUGAGACACGGUCCAGACUCCUACGGGAGGCAGCAGUAGGGAAUCUUCCGCAAUGGGCGAAAGCCUGACGGAGCAACGCCGCGUGAGUGAUGAAGGUCUUCGGAUCGUAAAACUCUGUUAUUAGGGAAGAACAUAUGUGUAAGUAACUGUGCACAUCUUGACGGUACCUAAUCAGAAAGCCACGGCUAACUACGUG
Molecule: ribosomal RNA, 496 nt
Filed under: uncultured bacterium
Lineage: Bacteria
Description: partial 16S ribosomal RNA
Rfam family: Bacterial small subunit ribosomal RNA
Source: RNAcentral